UCGAAGCCUAGAAAGCACGACCGCGAAUGAGUUUACAAUCUUGGGCGCCCCGCGCUGCCUCGCUCGGCUGGCGAGGAGACCUGCGCUCUUCGCCUUCCGAAAAUAACGAACCCCGGCGCUGAUAAGCGCCAAGGAACCGAAAAGAGAAGUGCUCGACCCUCCGACCCGUUGAUCGGGUAGCAGGGCCUUGCCUAUUCACAAAAUAUCAUAACGACUCUCGGCAACGGAUAUCUCGGCUCUCGCAUCGAUGAAGAACGUAGCAAAAUGCGAUACUUGGUGUGAAUUGCAGAAUCCCGUGAAUCAUCGAGUCUUUGAACGCAAGUUGCGCCCGAAGCCUUUAGGCCGAGGGCACGCCUGCCUGGGCGUCAUGCACUGCGAUGCCCCCAUGCAAUCAUGCUGGGCGGAUCUUGGCCUCCCGUGAACCCAACUCGCGGAUGGCUUAAAAGAGAGCCUCGGGACGGAAGACCCGGCGACAAGUGGUGGUUAAGAGGCCUUCGGCCCCUGAACUAAGCGCGUCGCGGCGUCUCCCCUCCCUAGCUCGGAAUAGACCUUAGCGGAGCUCUUUUGCGCCGCCAGCAUC
RNAcentral lists this unclassified non-coding RNA (580 nucleotides) under Sedum moranense. Its description in RNAcentral is "sequence contains ITS1, 5.8S rRNA gene and ITS2". The stretch from base 213 to 368 matches the Rfam family "5.8S ribosomal RNA". Lineage: Eukaryota; Viridiplantae; Streptophyta; Magnoliopsida; Saxifragales; Crassulaceae. The record is from RNAcentral.